RNAcentral lists this ribosomal RNA (462 nucleotides) under uncultured bacterium. RNAcentral's name for it is "partial 16S ribosomal RNA". It matches the Rfam family "Bacterial small subunit ribosomal RNA", at positions 28 to 507 of the family's 1533-position model. The record is from RNAcentral.
GAUAAACGCUGGCGGCGUGCUUAACACAUGCAAGUCGAACGAAGUUUUUCUUUCGGGAGGAACUUAGUGGCGGACGGGUGAGUAGCGCGUGGGUAACCUGCCCUGUACAGGGGGACAACAGCUGGAAACGGCUGCUAAUACCGCAUAAGCCCUUAGCACUGCAUGGUGCAUAGGGAAAAGGAGCAAUCCGGUACAGGAUGGACCCGCGUCUGAUUAGCCAGUUGGCAGGGUAACGGCCUACCAAAGCGACGAUCAGUAGCCGAUCUGAGAGGAUGUACGGCCACAUUGGGACUGAGACACGGCCCAGACUCCUACGGGAGGCAGCAGUGGGGAAUAUUGCACAAUGGAGGAAACUCUGAUGCAGCGACGCCGCGUGAGUGAAGAAGUAUUUCGGUAUGUAAAGCUCUAUCAGCAGGAAAGAAAAUGACGGUACCUGACUAAGAAGCACCGGCUAAAUACGUG